AGGAGAACAAGGAGGACGAGGAUUUGUGCUCGGUAUAACCCGAGGUGGUUAGCAGUGGUCGUUGGUGGUGGUUGGAGGUAGUCGAGCUGGACGAGGAGAACAAGGUGGACAAGGAGGAUGAGGGGAUUUGUGCUCGGUAACUCUGCACAUACUUUCGAUCUCUUCGCUAUAUUGGUACACGACGAGUGCACCUCGUUUCGUGGGCUCCAUCCGAUUGGACUCAGCAACACUAAUUCGUCGCCUAAUUCUCGGAAGUGCAAUAACAAAAAUUAAACGUGAAAUAGUUGUAGCUAUUAUGAGAAAGGAUAAGUUAGGUUAAGGAUCUCUGGAUAGGUGCACUCUGGUUUAAUGACAUGAAACUGCAUAUUGAAGCGUUCGCUGAAACUGUACUUAUGACUAACUCCUUGAAUGCGGGAGGAUUACAAUACAAGGAGGCGUUUGGACAGCAUUGCAGCGCUGCGACAUUCUUGAAUAACGAACAAAGUACAUCGGAUAACCAUCGGAAAUACAACUUGUUUAAAUUCUUCCUGAUACCUGCUUCCACAACUGACACAUAAUUCAUAUCUAUUCUAAUGCUCGAUACAAAGCAUUGGUUCUGCAAGCUAUUGAAUCGUCUUAUAUCAGAUGAGAUAAGUCGGAACGCAUGAUAGAUGAUCAAAAAUGAUAACACAAAAUAAUAUGCACGUGAAAAAACACACAGGCCUCACUAGCAUACAGUGAGAAUAUGCACGUCCGACUCCUUAGCUGUGGGUCCUACGAUGUUCUGGAUGUCGUGAUUUUGACGAUUCUGAAUGAUGUUGGAAUCGAUUCUUGAAUGCAUUAUUUCGACGUAAUUUUGCGAAAGGAAUCGUUUGGGCGCGGUCCAAAUACGCUGCGCGCAAGAAAUCCAGAAUUGCAGCCAAAAGCAUCCGAUUCCUACCGAGUUUUCAGAUGGAUGGGAAAGGAAAAUUAUAAAUUCACAGUGACAAAGUUUUUGUUUCAGUUCAGUUACAGUUUAUUCAAUGCGCCUUAAUUCUAAUACAAGUGUUCGCGUGACAGUGUACGGUACUUCAACAGGUUGCCUAAUAGUAGUUAUUAUAAAGUUAAAGACACAGAGAAUAUAAGGAAAGAGAAGUACAAUGUAAGUUGCUUUGAGCAGAAUGCGUGAAUGGUUAUAUGGAUAUGAGGUAUAUGUUGUAAAGUUCAAGUUCUGAGCUAUACA
Long non-coding RNA from Neodiprion fabricii, 1201 nucleotides. RefSeq lists it as uncharacterized. The record is from RefSeq and is a predicted model, not a curated record. The transcript is spliced from 3 exons. NCBI's taxonomy places the organism in Eukaryota, Metazoa, Arthropoda, Insecta, Hymenoptera, Diprionidae.